UACGUAGGGUGCGAGCGUUGUCCGGAAUUACUGGGCGUAAAGAGCUCGUAGGUGGUUUGUCGCGUUGUUCGUGAAAACUCACAGCUUAACUGUGGGCGUGCGGGCGGUACGGGCAGACUGGAGUACUGCAGGGGAGACUGGAAUUCCUGGUGUAGCGGUGGAAUGCGCAGAUAUCAGGAGGAACACCGGUGGCGAAGGCGGGUCUCUGGGCAGUAACUGACGCUGAGGAGCGAAAGCGUGGGGAGCGAACAGG
This 253-nucleotide ribosomal RNA is filed under the name uncultured bacterium. Its description in RNAcentral is "partial 16S ribosomal RNA". It matches the Rfam family "Bacterial small subunit ribosomal RNA", at positions 524 to 776 of the family's 1533-position model. The record is from RNAcentral.